GUCGUCAGGUUUAAAUUUUUUGACACUCCUACAUAUGUUUUAUAGUGUUACAAACGUAGCCUUAUAAACACACGAGUUGAUUAACUGUUGCUCAAAAAUUCUAAAUAAUAGGAACCCAAACUCCAAGGUGCAGUAAUUUCAAGUCAUGUCGCAAGAAGUUGAGGUUCCUGAAGUAGCAAAUUUUUAGUCGACCUAGAUGAUCAAUUUCUUUUCUUACACUGGUUGGAUCUCGUGCAAUGUCUAAAAAUACCAAGCCGUAUGUAUUUACCGUGGUCAGACUGGCUAAAAACUAAUUCCAUGUGUCCUUGUCCAUAACAUAAUUUCGUAUUGGGUUCAUAUAAAUCGGAUAUGCAAAGUGGAUAAUUUAAAAGACGCGUUCCAACAAUUGGAUUGGAAUUAUUUGGCAGAUCAACUACAAACUAAAUUCAUCUUCGACACCGUGAUCGUCCACAAUUUUAGGAGUAAUGAAGUUCGAAAUAAGUCCAAACUGCUGAAUGAAAAAUUCAUCCGGGUAAAUCCAACACCGGAACUUCCAUUUUAUGGGAGACGUGCUGAGUUAGUGCAAUUGGAGGAAUCAUUCUCCAAUUGUAGGCAUAGAUCCGAAUUUGUUUUCAUUACUGGUCCACCUGUAAUUGGCAAGUCGGAAUUAAUUUGUGAAUUUAUGAAGCAUAAGUGUAAAAGUGACUUGUUAUCGUAUUCUUGGAUUGAUUGCAAAAAUGGGGCAUUUUGUUGGUAUCAAUUAUAUUACAGUUUAAUUCGCCAGAACUGCAGAAGUGUCUGUAUUGGCGACUAUCCUUCCAGAAACAGUACUGCGGAAACUGAAUCGCAACGAAUUGUUGGUGAAAUUAUUCCAAAAAAAUAUUGGGUUUGCAUUUUAGACAAUAUAUCCCUUCGUACGAAGGAUCUGGAAUAUUUUGUGUACGAUUUUCACAACCUCAGCAAAAUUUUCGUCGUUAUUAUUAGUCGAAACGUUAAUUUGUUAAAUUCAAACGCAGGGAAUAUUAGACAUAUAAAUUUACCCGGCUUGGAUUUCGCAGAAAUUCUGAGUAAAAACGAAAUCCACCAAGGAAAGGAAAUUUGCAAUCUUCUGGACGGGCAUCCUCUAGGUUUACAUCAGUUUUUUUCUUAUGCAAAUUACCGAUUUCCGAGCACUGUUAAUUUCAAUGAGAGAAUCGCCCAAAGCCUUCAACGGUGAGAAUCCCCUGGAAAUUCUGGAGUCACGAUUAUUUCCAAAUUUUUCAACUUCCUGUGAAUCUUCAGUAAUUGAUAAAUAUUCUGAGGUCCUGUCACAAAUAAUAUCGGGGACUAACUAUACCCAAAAAGUUUCAAAUUUGAUUUUCCUCCUGUCCCGCUCUGGUAGAAGGGGCAUUCCAAUGAAAAUAUUGCUUAAAAAUAUGUAAGACCAGGAUAGGAUUUAAGAAUGAAAAGGGAAUAUUGGAGUUAAUUGAAAAAUUUGAAAAUCAGUCCGUAAUCGUGAAACAAAAUGAUAAUUUAGUUGUUCAUCCGAUUUUCAUUCUGGUAUUGGAACGAGAGGUUGAAGAUCGAAAUAUUUCCUUGAAGUUUGGGGAAGGGCAACAUGGUAAAAUUAUCUUUGAACCCGACGAGGUUAUGAGCUGGAGAGAUUGGGAUUGUGAAAUAUUUUAGUGGACUAGUAUCGAGAAGUGCGCAAUAUGUAAAUAGUAUGCACAUUGAGGAUUACUCAAUUUAAGACGAAUUAUUACCGUAAAUACUCUAUUUGUUACCCAAUUCUAAUUAUAUCCGGUCUCCAAAUAUAGCCGGGUCUAGAGACCAAGAUUUCAAAAUUUUACCCGGGUUUCUAAUUGUAGCCGGGUCUGUGACCCUCGGUUUGGGCUUUUAGCCCGGCUAUAAAUAGAGUUUUUACGGUUUGUAUUAAUGUUUUAUUUUGCACUAACUACUAAAUUUUAGAAUGACAAAUCAGACAAAUUUUAUAUGCAUUUUGUGUCAUGAAUUUCAAAUCAGUAUUGAAAACUGAUAUCUUUCUACCAUUUAUGAACUGUCCCCAUAAUGAAAGUGUCAGAACUUUUAGGAGUGCAAAAAAUGAUUGCAUGAAUCACCCAUAGAAUUUCUCACCAAUGAAAGUUUUUCCCAAUUUUCAAUUUUACGUGAAAGAAGGUUUCGGCUAUGCUUAGCCGGAAAAAUUGUAUCACUGAUAAAUGAUAGAUAAGACGUUAAGCUGGUUGCAACCAGUCAUCAGUGAGGGAACUGCACCCUCGUACCCCGUCUUGGAUCAUACACUCAAAAUAAUCUGGUGUCAAUCCAGCGCGGUGAAGUCACAUAUAGACACCGCUCGGUGUUAAUUGCCCGCAUUAACACCGCGUGGUGUCUAUAUGUGACAACACCGCACUGGAUUGACACCAGGUUAUUUUGAGUGUAGUGCAUAUGGCACAGUAUCAAGUCAAUAUUCAUUAAAAACGGGAACGUCAUUUCAUAAAACACGAAUAAAACAUUUUUAAAAUUCAACUCAAAAAUUUAAAAAAAAAACAAUCAAAACUGGAAAUCGUAGCAAAAAACCCGUACUCCAAAUUACGACUGUCCGGGUCAUGAGACCAUCAGUUAUGCUGCAUCUCAUGCAUACUUAAAUUAUGCUCAACGUAUUGUUUCUUAGUAUUAUCUAAACCCAACCUGGAUUAAAAAUUAGUUAAGAGAAAACCUUAACCCCUUAUCUUAGCUAGUGAUUUGUAAAACUGUCAUUUGUUUUAACAUUGCUAAAGUUGGUGAAUAAGGGAAACAUAAAUAAAUAAAUGCAUACAUUGCAUUUCCUGUACUAUUUAACAACAUACUUUUGUCCUGCAUAAUGUUUGUUAAGUGUCGGUUUGGUUAGGUUAGCCUAACCCAACCUCUUUCUAAUUUUGUCUAAUACUAAAUACAAUUAUCUCAGAAAUACUGAAAACAAAUUAAUGGACCAAGGUAAGAAUUUGAUACCAAGAAUAGUGUUAUUUGUUUAAUCAUAUAUAAAAUCUUGUGUUAUAAUUAUGCAUAAAAAUAAUUUGAAGACGCAAAUAAAACUAAUUUGGUGCUUUAAUUUGUUAAAAAAAUGUGUACGUAUCUUGAAAUAUAUUUGUAUUACAUUACGCGCUUCCCUAACACAACUGGAAUAGUUGACUGACAGCGUAAUAAAAUGUAUCAUUUUUUUAAUAGGACCGAUAUAAAAUCCCAACAUUGCAUUGAUUCCGCUGUGUAAGCUACACAUGGACACAUGUUUACUUCAACAUUGCCUAAGUCAACGCCGCCGGACCGCCAUACGCCGAUCGCAUUUUAAACGCCGCCGCGGAUAAAUCUAAUUCUUUAUUCAUUGAGACGCCACCCCGCGCCGUGCCGAAAAAUCCUCAAAAUUGGCGCCCCCGCCGCCAAAUUGGUCGGCGUUGACCUCUUACAAGGAACCCUCAACUACUAUACCAUCUCGAUUUCCUUCGGAAUAGCCUGAAUCGACAGAUAAUUUAGUGAAAUUAAAAGUUUGUCAUACCACAUGCCGUGCAAACAACCCUGGAAGAUCUUACCUACCUACGAACCUGGUUGGUAGUACACUUGGACCCCGGGUAGUACAGUUCAACCGGCCGAAGGCCGGUCGAAAUUAUCUUCGAGCAAAUAUAUAAUGAUGAGCAGAAAAUACACAAGACCAGUUGGAAGUACACUAUAACUAGUACAAAAUUGAUAGAAAAGCACACCAAUCGUUGAAAGUAGUACACAUGGUGUACUUCACAUCGAUCACUAGAUAAUAAAUAGAACAUACACCUGUCCUCGAUAAUUUAGUACACCUCGGCCGAUACAAAAUGAGCAGAAAAUGCACAUUACUAGAUGAACUAGUACACUUCGACUAACCAGAAUAUGGAGAAAAUUAAUUUACGACCGAAUGGAAGUAAACUUCGACCAACACAAGAUCUGGAAAAAGUACACGGUCGAAUGGAAGAUCACUUCGACCAACACAAGAUCUGGAAAAAGCACACGAUCGAUUGGUAGUACACUUCGACCAACACAAAAUCUGAAAAAAGUACACGAUAGAAUUGUAGUACAAUUCCACCAACACCAAAAAUCUGGAAAAAAUGCACGAUCGAAGGGUAGUACACUUUGGCCAACACAAAAAUCAGAGAAAAGUACGCAUCGAGAACUGGGAAAUACGCUUAGAUCACCGAAAUAUAUUAAUAAUUAUAUUUCAAAUUGAAAUCCCAAACUGUUCUGUCGACGAAAAUUACGCAAAUCUGUUUGAGAUUUGGUAAUUUUCACAAUAUUAGAUAACAGAGCUGGCCAACGAUCAAAUAAAGUUUCAGACCUGCGUUAAUUCGAUUCAAGUUGACAAUUUAAAUUAGUUGCAGUUUUU
This is a long non-coding RNA of Folsomia candida, 4336 nucleotides long. RefSeq lists it as uncharacterized. The record is from RefSeq and is a predicted model, not a curated record. Lineage: Eukaryota; Metazoa; Arthropoda; Collembola; Entomobryomorpha; Isotomidae. The transcript is spliced from 5 exons.